This 783-nucleotide ribosomal RNA is filed under the name actinobacterium 01Q8P. RNAcentral describes it as "bacterial SSU rRNA". It matches the Rfam family "Bacterial small subunit ribosomal RNA", at positions 77 to 870 of the family's 1533-position model. The record is from RNAcentral. Lineage: Bacteria; Bacillati; Actinomycetota; Actinomycetes.
CCUUCGGGGUACUCGAGCGGCGAACGGGUGAGUAACACGUGGGUAACCUGCCUUCAGCUCUGGGAUAAGCCUGGGAAACUGGGUCUAAUACCGGAUAUGACACGCGGCCGCAUGGUUGUGUGUGGAAAGAUUUUUCGGCUGGAGAUGGACUCGCGGCCUAUCAGCUUGUUGGUGGGGUAGUGGCCUACCAAGGCGAUGACGGGUAGCCGGCCUGAGAGGGCGACCGGCCACACUGGGACUGAGACACGGCCCAGACUCCUACGGGAGGCAGCAGUGGGGAAUAUUGCGCAAUGGGCGAAAGCCUGACGCAGCAACGCCGCGUGAGGGAUGACGGCCUUCGGGUUGUAAACCUCUUUCAGCGCUGACGAAGCCUUUCGGGGUGACGGUAGGCGCAGAAGAAGCACCGGCUAACUACGUGCCAGCAGCCGCGGUAAUACGUAGGGUGCGAGCGUUGUCCGGAAUUAUUGGGCGUAAAGGGCUCGUAGGCGGUUUGUUGCGUCUGCUGUGAAAGCCCGGGGCUUAACCCCGGGUCUGCAGUGGAUACGGGCAGGCUAGAGUCCGGCAGGGGAGACUGGAAUUCCUGGUGUAGCGGUGGAAUGCGCAGAUAUCAGGAGGAACACCGGUGGCGAAGGCGGGUCUCUGGGCCGGUACUGACGCUGAGGAGCGAAAGCGUGGGGAGCGAACAGGAUUAGAUACCCUGGUAGUCCACGCCGUAAACGUUGGGCGCUAGGUGUGGGUUCCCUUCCACGGGAUCCGUGCCGUAGCUNACGCAUUAAGCGCCCC